AACAUAUUCCCUCCGUGUGGAAAUACUCGUCCUAGAAAUAGAUGUAUCUAAACUUAUUUUAAUUAUAGAUACAUUCAUUUUAUUUAUUUUUAAGAUAAGUAUUUUCGAAUGAAGGGAAUAUGUU
RNAcentral lists this microRNA precursor (124 nucleotides) under Hordeum vulgare. RNAcentral's name for it is "microRNA MIR1122". It matches the Rfam family "MIR1120/MIR1122 microRNA precursor family". Lineage: Eukaryota; Viridiplantae; Streptophyta; Magnoliopsida; Poales; Poaceae. The record is from RNAcentral.